Molecule: ribosomal RNA, 253 nt
Filed under: uncultured bacterium
Lineage: Bacteria
Description: partial 16S ribosomal RNA
Rfam family: Bacterial small subunit ribosomal RNA
Source: RNAcentral
GACAGAGGUGCCGAGCGUUAGGCGGAAUCACUGGGCUUAAAGCGUGUGUAGGCGGACUCGUAAGUGCUUUGUGAAAUCCCACGGCUCACCCGUGGAACUGCUUGGCAUACUGCGAGCCUUGAGCCACUUAGGGGCAACCGGAACAAACGGUGGAGCGGUGAAAUGCGUAGAUAUCGGAAGGAACGCCGGUGGCGAAAGCGACGUGCUGGACCUCUUCUGACGCUGAGGCGCGAAAGCCAGGGGAGCGAACGGG